AGGUUCCUGCUUUGAGCUCCUGCCCUGACUUCCCUCAAUGAUGGAUUGUGACCUGAGUAAUUAAUUCUGUGAUAAUGGUGAUGCUUAAAGCUGUCAUCCUGGAAGAAGGCAACCUGGAAAGCAUGAUGAUGCUGCUUGAGGUAAAGGCACUUCACAGGCAUGGAAGCCUGAGUCCAAUCCACUGACUCCACAGAGGCAGAAGGAAAGAACUGAUUCCACAAAGUUGUCCUCUGGACUGCAUGUAUCUGCUGUCCAUGCACGUAUACAUACUAAAUAAAUUUUUAAAAUGAACACAGGGCAAGUCAGAAUAAUUAGUAAGAUGGUGUCUAGCUAUAUCAUUAAUAUAAAUGGGUAAUUGCUCCCAUUAUAAAAUAUUGACAAACUAGUUAAUAAAAUUGAGCAGUUUGCUACUUCUGAGGGGCUGGAGAGAUGGCUCAGUGGUUGAUAGCCCUGACUGCUCUUUCAUCGGACCCAGGUUCAAUUCCUAGCACCCACAUUGCUGCUAACAACUGUGUAACUCCGGUUCCAGGGGAAUCCGAUGCCUCUUUUGACCUCCACAGGCAUUACAUGACUCAAGUGCACUCAAUGCAGGCAAUCACAUAAAAAUAAAAUACUUAAAAAAUUUUGA
Long non-coding RNA from Nannospalax galili (Upper Galilee mountains blind mole rat), 628 nucleotides. RefSeq lists it as uncharacterized. The transcript is spliced from 2 exons. The record is from RefSeq and is a predicted model, not a curated record. NCBI's taxonomy places the organism in Eukaryota, Metazoa, Chordata, Mammalia, Rodentia, Spalacidae.